RNAcentral lists this long non-coding RNA (246 nucleotides) under Microcebus murinus (gray mouse lemur). Its description in RNAcentral is "lncRNA (ENSMICG00000048273.1)". Lineage: Eukaryota; Metazoa; Chordata; Mammalia; Primates; Cheirogaleidae. The record is from RNAcentral.
CAACAUAGUUUGACCUAUACUCAGAAAAAAAUGAUUUAGACACUAAUAAAUCAAUUUGUUUUUAUAUUAAUUUCUCAGAAUGAAGAAUAAUGAAGAGGCAUGAUCUUUAUCAAACGUGAUUUAUUUCUCAGCCAUAUGGAUAGUAUUCUCACUGUGGAAGUUAUUUGAUAUCAAUGAUUUGGGUCAUACAAAAUGUUCUAUGCAAUCCAUUUGAAAGAAAAGAAGUAUCAUAUCUCCUAAAUUACC